Non-coding RNA from Punica granatum (pomegranate), 764 nucleotides. The record is from RefSeq and is a predicted model, not a curated record. Lineage: Eukaryota; Viridiplantae; Streptophyta; Magnoliopsida; Myrtales; Lythraceae.
UGGCUCCAUUAGAGAGUGAGCGUCGUGAGGUUCUUGUGACAACGGUGCCGAUCUUUGCUCGAUCUUGUAGCAAAGAUCCAUUGUCGGGUUAUUUCUGCUUGCUUCUCUUUUGUCUAACACGUAAUGGGUAAUUGAUAUACGGUGAUCAUGGCCGAUUAAGGUGUGCUCGACGACGGCUAGAUCCAAGGAGAUUGGCUCGUGACUCGAGGUUCGGAGCCCAUAGCACAUGAUUGAUUCAUGUGUGCAUCUUGGAGAUCAUUAACCCUAUGAGGUUAGUGAUUUAAUUUCGCUUCCGCAUUUAAUUUCAAUACCCGAAUAAAGACCCGAUUUUUAUGUGAUUUGAGUACAUGUAUGACUUAAUUUUAAAGUAGACUAUCAGUGUCACCAUCUACUUAUUCAUUAAUAACCGUUUUUUCCCAUAACAUAUUUUUACCACCAAUUAGCUCCAAACGUUGACAUUCCGUCUACCAUUUAUACCCUUCCAUAACAAAAAAGUGACGGAAAAGGUAACACCGUUCAUGAAUUUUCCGUCAUGGAGGUUAACGAAAGGGUAUAAAUGGUAGACGGAAUGCCAACGUUUGGAACUAAUUGGUGGCAAAAAUAUGUUAGGGGCAAAAAUAGUUGCUAAUGAAUAAGUGGAUGGCGACGGUGGUAUUCUUACUCUUUAAUUUUACCACAUUAGUAUCAGAUUCUGUAUUGAAAAAACCUCGGUUUGGCUAUUUAUUUAUCCAAAUCUGAGUCAGUAAAUUUAGGUUUGACUUCUG